CAGGCUUAACACAUGCAAGUCGAGGGGCAGCGGGGUAGUGCUUGCACUACUGCCGGCGACCGGCGCACGGGUGAGUAACACGUAUGGAACCUGCCCGCAGCAGGGGGAUAAGCGGAAGAAAUUCCGUCUAAUACCGCGUAACAACGUUGGGAGGCAUCUCCCGAUGUUUAAAGAUUUAUCGGCUGCGGAUGGCCAUGCGGCGCAUUAGCUAGUCGGCGGGGUAACGGCCCACCGAGGCGACGAUGCGUAGGGGUUCUGAGAGGAAGGUCCCCCACACUGGUACUGAGACACGGACCAGACUCCUACGGGAGGCAGCAGUGAGGAAUAUUGGUCAAUGGCCGAGAGGCUGAACCAGCCAAGUCGCGUGAGGGAAGACGGCCCUACGGGUUGUAAACCUCUUUUGUCGGGGAGCAAAGCGAACCACGUGUGGUUCAUUGAGAGUACCCGAAGAAAAAGCAUCGGCUAACUCCGUGCCAGCAGCCGCGGUAAUACGUAGGAUGCGAGCGUUAUCCGGAUUUAUUGGGUUUAAAGGGUGCGCAGGCGGAGGUGCAAGUCAGCGGUCAAAUUGCGGGGCUCAACCCCGUACUGCCGUUGAAACUGCAUCCCUUGAGUGCGCGAGAAGUAUGCGGAAUGCGUGGUGUAGCGGUGAAAUGCAUAGAUAUCACGCAGAACUCCGAUUGCGAAGGCAGCAUACCGGCGCGCAACUGACGCUCAUGCACGAAAGCGUGGGUAUCGAACAGGAUUAGAUACCCUGGUGGUCCACGCAGUAAACGAUGAACACUAACUGUUCGGCCAGAAUGAUGGCUGAGUGGUACAGCGAAAGCGUUAAGUGUUCCACCUGGGGAGUACGCCGGCAACGGUGAAACUCAAAGGAAUUGACGGGGGCCCGCACAAGCGGAGGAACAUGUGGUUUAAUUCGAUGAUACGCGAGGAACCUUACCCGGGCUCAAACGACACAGGAAUACUUUUGAAAGGAGGUAGCCCUACGGGGUCUGUGUCGAGGUGCUGCAUGGUUGUCGUCAGCUCGUGCCGUGAGGUGUCGGCUUAAGUGCCAUAACGAGCGCAACCCCUAUCGCCAGUUACCAUCAAGUAAAGUUGGGGACUCUGGCGAGACUGCCGGCGCAAGCUGAGAGGAAGGCGGGGAUGACGUCAAAUCAGCACGGCCCUUACGUCCGGGGCGACACACGUGUUACAAUGGCAGGUACAGAGAGAAGCCAGGUGGCGACACCGCGCGGAACUCGAAAGCCUGUCUCAGUUCGGAUCGGAGUCUGCAACCCGACUCCGUGAAGCUGGAUUCGCUAGUAAUCGCGCAUCAGCCAUGGCGCGGUGAAUACGUUCCCGGGCCUU
Molecule: ribosomal RNA, 1347 nt
Filed under: uncultured bacterium
Lineage: Bacteria
Description: partial 16S ribosomal RNA
Rfam family: Bacterial small subunit ribosomal RNA
Source: RNAcentral